Molecule: ribosomal RNA, 164 nt
Filed under: Platanus occidentalis var. occidentalis
Lineage: Eukaryota; Viridiplantae; Streptophyta; Magnoliopsida; Proteales; Platanaceae
Description: 5.8S ribosomal RNA
Rfam family: 5.8S ribosomal RNA
About the family: 5.8S ribosomal RNA (5.8S rRNA) is a component of the large subunit of the eukaryotic ribosome. It is transcribed by RNA polymerase I as part of the 45S precursor that also contains 18S and 28S rRNA.
Source: RNAcentral
AAAACGACUCUCGGCAACGGAUAUCUCGACUCUCGCAUCGAUGAAGAACGUAGCGAAAUGCGAUACUUGGUGUGAAUUGCAGAAUCCCGUGAACCAUCGAGUCUUUGAACGCAAGUUGCGCCCUAGGCCUUUAGGCCGAGGGCACGCCUGCCUGGGCGUCACGC